CACGGAGGGUGCAAGCGUUAUUCGGAAUCACUGGGCGUAAAGAGCGCGUAGGCGGUCACUUAAGUCAGAUGUGAAAACCCGGGGCUUAACACCGGAAGAGCAUUUGAAACUAAGGGACUUGAGUAUGGGAGAGGGAAGUGGAAUUGCUGGUGUAGCGGUGAAAUGCGUAGAUAUCAGGAAGAACACCGGUGGUGAUGGCGACUUCCUGGACCAAUACUGACACUGAGGCGAGAAAGCGUGGGGAGCAAACAGG
Molecule: ribosomal RNA, 253 nt
Filed under: uncultured bacterium
Lineage: Bacteria
Description: partial 16S ribosomal RNA
Rfam family: Bacterial small subunit ribosomal RNA
Source: RNAcentral